Non-coding RNA from Pelobates cultripes (western spadefoot toad), 320 nucleotides. The record is from the annotation of a GenBank genome assembly. NCBI's taxonomy places the organism in Eukaryota, Metazoa, Chordata, Amphibia, Anura, Pelobatidae.
CGGGUGACUAGGAAAAAGUUAAUACUUAAGUAGGAGAUAGUGCCAUUUUUUGCAACAACUGGGUACCACCAAGUUUUACAAACAAAAUUUUUAAAGAUAGCCGAGAGUUUCUGCAGCUCAGAUGAAGAUUGAUUGUGAGUAAAUAGUUAGAAAGACCACACAGGUGUAAAGUUAAAGGGCAAUGUGUCAGGAUUUUUAUAGGUGGCGCUGAAAGAAAUGGUGCCCAAUAGUGGCAUAAUCUUAGUGUGCUCCAAUUUCCAACAUGAAGUCAUGACAAAAGUAAGGAGUUAACACUACUUGUGCUGUUUCUGAACUUCCAC